Molecule: ribosomal RNA, 763 nt
Filed under: Halomonas sp.
Lineage: Bacteria; Pseudomonadati; Pseudomonadota; Gammaproteobacteria; Oceanospirillales; Halomonadaceae
Description: bacterial SSU rRNA
Rfam family: Bacterial small subunit ribosomal RNA
Source: RNAcentral
UAGGCCGGCCGGCAGCUACACAUGCAGUCGAGCGGUAACAGGUCCAGCUUGCUGGACGCUGACGAGCGGCGGACGGGUGAGUAACGCAUAGGAAUCUACCCGGUAGUGGGGGAUAACCUGGGGAAACCCAGGCUAAUACCGCAUACGUCCUACGGGAGAAAGGGGGCUUCGGCUCCCGCUAUUGGAUGAGCCUAUGCCGGAUUAGCUGGUUGGUGAGGUAAUGGCUCACCAAGGCGACGAUCCGUAGCUGGUCUGAGAGGAUGAUCAGCCACAUCGGGACUGAGACACGGCCCGAACUCCUACGGGAGGCAGCAGUGGGGAAUAUUGGACAAUGGGGGCAACCCUGAUCCAGCCAUGCCGCGUGUGUGAAGAAGGCCCUCGGGUUGUAAAGCACUUUCAGCGAGGAAGAACGCCUGUCGGUUAAUACCCGGCAGGAAAGACAUCACUCGCAGAAGAAGCACCGGCUAACUCCGUGCCAGCAGCCGCGGUAAUACGGAGGGUGCAAGCGUUAAUCGGAAUUACUGGGCGUAAAGCGCGCGUAGGUGGCUUGAUAAGCCGGUUGUGAAAGCCCCGGGCUCAACCUGGGAACGGCAUCCGGAACUAUUAGGCUAGAGUGCAGGAGAGGAAGGUAGAAUUCCCGGUGUAGCGGUGAAAUGCGUAGAGAUCGGGAGGAAUACCAGUGGCGAAGGCGGCCUUCUGGACUGACACUGACACUGAGGUGCGAAAGCGUGGGUAGCAAACAGGAUUAGAUACCUGGGUAGUC